AUUGAACGCUGGCGGCAUGCCUUACACAUGCAAGUCGAACGGCAGCGCGGGAGCAAUCCUGGCGGCGAGUGGCGAACGGGUGAGUAAUACAUCGGAACGUGCCCAAUCGUGGGGGAUAACGCAGCGAAAGCUGUGCUAAUACCGCAUACGAUCUACGGAUGAAAGCCGGGGAUCGCACGACCUUUCGCGAAUGUAGCUGCCGAUGGCAGAUUAGGUAGUUGGUGAGGUAAAGGCUCACCAAGCCUUCGAUCUGUCGCUGGUCUGAGAGGACGACCAGCCACACUGGGACUGAGACAGGGACCAGACUCCUACGGGAGGCAGCAGUGGGGAAUUUUGGACAAUGGGCGAAAGCCUGAUCCAGCCAUGCCGCGUGCAGGAUGAAGGCCUUCGGGUUGUAAACUGCUUUUGUACGGAACGAAACGGUCUUUUCUAAUAAAGAAGGCUAAUGACGGUACCGUAAGAAUAAGCACCGGCUAACUACGUG
RNAcentral lists this ribosomal RNA (484 nucleotides) under uncultured bacterium. RNAcentral's name for it is "partial 16S ribosomal RNA". It matches the Rfam family "Bacterial small subunit ribosomal RNA", at positions 30 to 507 of the family's 1533-position model. The record is from RNAcentral.